RNAcentral lists this transfer RNA (73 nucleotides) under Paramuricea clavata. It matches the Rfam family "tRNA". From Rfam's summary of the family: Transfer RNA (tRNA) molecules are approximately 80 nucleotides in length. Their secondary structure includes four short double-helical elements and three loops (D, anti-codon, and T loops). The record is from Rfam by way of RNAcentral. Lineage: Eukaryota; Metazoa; Cnidaria; Anthozoa; Malacalcyonacea; Plexauridae.
GACCGCGUAGCUCAGUUGGAAGAACAUUGGGCUAGUAUUCCAAAGGUCGUAGGUUCGAAUCCCACCGUGGCCG